GUGUGUGUAGCCCAAUGGUUAUGAUUAUUGCCUUCCAAGCAAUAACCCGGGUUCGAACCCCGGCAAAUGCA
Molecule: transfer RNA, 71 nt
Filed under: Salvia splendens (bonfire salvia)
Lineage: Eukaryota; Viridiplantae; Streptophyta; Magnoliopsida; Lamiales; Lamiaceae
Rfam family: tRNA
About the family: Transfer RNA (tRNA) molecules are approximately 80 nucleotides in length. Their secondary structure includes four short double-helical elements and three loops (D, anti-codon, and T loops).
Source: Rfam by way of RNAcentral